UUAGUACGGAGGAAUGCGCGGAGUUCAUUAACAAAUUGUUUUCGCUGAUGAGCAAGGAACAUCUCCAGGAAAUGCCAUUCAAACUAGAUCAACUUUUGCCAAUCAGGUGACUAGGUCCUUCUAUUGGCACACCCACGAUCUGAUCUUGCAGACGAUUCUUUCGGUGUUUUUUUUUCCUCAAGCCAGCUUUCUCUCGUUUACCGUCCCUUGUUCCUUCCUCGUGCUCGCUUUGAGUCACGAUACCAAGAAAAACUAUCAUGAUCCAGAGGCCAAAGCGAAGGUUGACUUCGAGUGACGUCAGUUGGAACAAGAGGUAAAGAGAGACGGAGAGAGAGCGAAAAAGGGCGGAAAAAAGCCCAAACUCGGCUCAAGGAAGCGAAUAAACAAAUUAAGAUUCUGUACAACAAGGCCACCUUUCAUCACAACCUUUGAGGCGUAAACACCUCGGGACUCGAUCUUGUUUCACAAUUUCACGGAAGUUCGCCAAGAACUCGCUUAUUGUAAGCAAUCUCUGCGGCAUAAGUGGAUGGAUGGUACGAGCGUACCUCAUACCUCAGUCGUUGGUGACUCUCUGGCCAGGCAAAAAGGCUCAUGAAAAAGGCCACGUGGGUGGGAUGGACUUCCCCGAGAACCAAGUCAUCUGACAGAUAUCCUUAAAGGAUGACAUGGAUGAGUGUUCCUAGAAAUGCUAAGUACAUACACGAAGAGAAACUUUCCAACUAAAUGUGUCAGAUUCAGUAGAUUUGACCGAUGUGGAUCAGUGCUGAUAAUUAUUACAGACUCGGCGAGUUGUUCAAGUGGAACGGUUUCGGCAACGCAAAAACAGCAAAACCCCCCAAAAGAUAAGGAAUACACGCGCAUGACUCAUUUGUAUCAAUCUGGCGAUUUUUUACGAUCGCAACCUCUUUAUCCACAACGCAUACAUACACAAAAAAGAGAUUGACGGUUCAAUGAGUGAGAAUCAAUGUGUCCACAAAUCGAUUCCAAGACGUGCCUGGUCAAGAUAGGACUCGAAACAUACUCAAGUACAUGUAAACGAAUAAUAUCUUGAGAGGGCUCUCUUUCCACGUGGUCGAGCCUGGAAAACUGAUCCGGGAUCCAAUUAUCAAGCAAAUUGCUCUUGAUCCCCCUAACCUUGGAAUGUUCUGGGGACCACCAGAGGGCUGACCGAGAACUGAACGUUCCCGUCACUACCCUACGUACAGAAAGUGGAUUACCUCCUCUCUUUUACCUUCAACGAAAUGUCCUCGUUAAUCAAUCAGCUUCGGGAUUUUCCAAAUCAUCGACGACGUCUAUCCACCACAAUUUGAUCGACAGGCGUUUUGAACCCCAGCAAUACAAAAAGUGUUACCAACGCUUAGAUAUAUGGAAGGACGUCUUCAACAUGGACAAGCAACCAUGGAAAGAAAUAUGACGCUAGAGCACAUUCAAAAGGUCAUAUGGAAAGGUUAUGAAACUCAUGAUAAAUCAUAACACAGUGCCUUUAAUUGCUUGGACUAAGGUUCAGAAAGACGAACUAAAUAUUUUCAUCACAGUUUGGUUGUUUCAUGAAAAAUCUUAUAAAAAGAUACAUUUUUCAAUGUCAUUUUUGAGCAGUUACCUGAGUUGGGAAAACAAAAAUAUUCCCGCCCACAUGCUUAAACUAGAAUGUGAAUUUUACGCUCAGUUGCUGUUUUUCCUUUAGUUCACUGCACUCUAAUUGCCUUACAAUGGUAAUGCUUGUAUUUGAAAUAGUCUAUUAUGUUGGUCCUAGAUCACGAUUUAAGGACGCUUCAUGAUACAAGCCUGUAUUUACCUGAACUACUUGAGCUUCAUUAUCGUCAUCAUAGUAAAUUGUUCAUGUGGGGAUAAGUCAAACAAGAUUACUCUUAAAACCAAAUGAGCAAUCAAUGAGUCGUCAAAAUGAGAAUAGUCAAUUAAUUUUUGCCCAAUAAAAUCAUCAAAACACUUGAA
Long non-coding RNA from Tigriopus californicus, 1953 nucleotides. RefSeq lists it as uncharacterized. Lineage: Eukaryota; Metazoa; Arthropoda; Copepoda; Harpacticoida; Harpacticidae. The transcript has 2 exons. The record is from RefSeq and is a predicted model, not a curated record.